Molecule: long non-coding RNA, 807 nt
Filed under: Nicotiana benthamiana
Lineage: Eukaryota; Viridiplantae; Streptophyta; Magnoliopsida; Solanales; Solanaceae
Description: long non-coding RNA (NBEN_LNC017146)
Source: RNAcentral
CAUCAUAUAUAUGUAGAUUAAGUGGUGCAGGCGAAAAAAACUGGACCUUUUGGUUGGAGGUAUGACUUCAUGGCAGAUGCUUUAUUUCAGUCAGUUGUAUCAACUUAUUCAAAAUACAUAUGCUCGUAUACUAUUGUGUCUAAUCUGCCUGCAUAAACUAUAUGUUACUGUGAGAGCUUAGUACACAGCUGACAACACUUGGGUGGCUAGUUUUGAUAUCUUACCAGAAGAAAAUACAUAUGCUCAUAUACUAUUGUGUCUAAUCUGCCUGCAUAAACUAUAUUUUACUGUGAAAGCUUAGUACACAGGUGACAACACUUUGGUGGCUAGUUUUGACAUCUUUCCAGAAGAAAAUUUGUGUCCUGACACAAAGAAUAAUUAGGCUUUGCCUUUAAGUCGUUUUUAAAGAAUUUAAAAUAACCUUAAAGUGUUGGAUCUAUUGUGUUUAAUUUCAUGUGUAUCACGACCCUAUUUGCCCAAGCCAUGAUGCCACCUGACUUAACUCGCUAGGCGAACCAACGAAACUAAAAGCAUGAUCCAAAGGCGAUAAAUAGUAAUAACAAUUGAUACAUAAUGGACGUAGACAUUCUGUUACUUAGUGAACAUAGACAUACUCUUAUGUAAUGUAUGUACAUAGCAAUAUUAUAGGGAUUCAUUACAAAUCUAUAGGAUUUCUUUUUUUUGAUUCUUUCUUUAGUUAGGGCCAUGUACUUGUAUAUAUAUUUGUUACUUCUUGACAUAAUACACUAUGAAAUUGCUCAAUCGUCUCUGUAUAACACUAUGAACUUGCUCAAUCGUCUCUGUAUC